CAAGUACUCCCUCCGUCCAGAAAUUCUUGUCUUGGGUUUAUUUAAAAAUGGAUGUAUCUAGACAAAUCUAAGACANGAAUUUUGAGACGGAGGGAGUAUAUU
Molecule: non-coding RNA, 102 nt
Organism: Hordeum vulgare subsp. vulgare (domesticated barley)
Lineage: Eukaryota; Viridiplantae; Streptophyta; Magnoliopsida; Poales; Poaceae
Source: Rfam